CGUCCAGACUCCUACGGGAGGCAGCAGUGAGGAAUAUUGGUCAAUGGGCGCGAGCCUGAACCAGCCAAGUCGCGUGAGGGAAGACGGUCCUAUGGAUUGUAAACCUCUUUUGUCGGGGAGCAAAAGACGCCACGCGUGGCGUUCCGAGAGUACCCGAAGAAAAAGCAUCGGCUAACUCCGUGCCAGCAGCCGCGGUAAUACGGAGGAUGCGAGCGUUAUCCGGAUUUAUUGGGUUUAAAGGGUGCGUAGGCGGAAUGCCAAGUCAGCGGUAAAAUCGCGGGGCUCAACCUCGCUCCGCCGUUGAAACUGGCAGUCUCGAGUUGGAGAGAAGUAUGCGGAAUGCGCGGUGUAGCGGUGAAAUGCAUAGAUAUCGCGCAGAACUCCGAUUGCGAAGGCAGCAUGCCGGCUCCACACUGACGCUGAGGCACGAAAGCGUGGGUAUCGAACAGGAUUAGAUACCCUAGUAU
RNAcentral lists this ribosomal RNA (467 nucleotides) under uncultured bacterium. Its description in RNAcentral is "bacterial SSU rRNA". It matches the Rfam family "Bacterial small subunit ribosomal RNA", at positions 328 to 793 of the family's 1533-position model. The record is from RNAcentral.